UGUCGGAUGCAAUGGCUAGUUGCGGCUACGACAGGCGUUUUAUUGGCCGGUUGUUUUGACUGAAGGAUUUCCGUCGGCGUAACGUCGCAUGAAUGAAGGCGAAAUGCAUGUGAGAUAGAGAUGAAACACACAGACCUUCAUGAUGUUCCUCAACCACGAUCAGGUCGACUUCAACAUUGUUCGUCAAAGACCUCGGCAUUGACGUCCCAGGAGUUGCAUCAUGAUCCGGGAUCAUGCGAAGCAAAAUGUGUGAGCUUCUUAUAAAAUAAAACAGAAAAAUAAUGGAAAAUAAAAAACACGCCGUAAGAGCACGCGACUUGAUGCGUCGAGAGCCAACCAUUUCUUGAUUGUUUCCAAUAAAUGCGGACACCAAACGUCAGGUUUGAAUGUCUAACAAAGACCUCACGUAGAUGGCCCUUCGAGAUAAACCGGUUGAUAAGCGAAACGUUCCCAUUAUAUGCUCGUGAGCGGCGGUAAGAAUCGCUUUGCCCCUGUUAACAUCAUACGUUUUCGUUUAGAAUGUACGAUCUUUAAUUAGAAUACUAAUUGAAUGAAAUAAACAUAUUCGUCAAUUAAUUGUUACGAAACGGAA
Molecule: long non-coding RNA, 592 nt
Organism: Xenia sp. Carnegie-2017
Lineage: Eukaryota; Metazoa; Cnidaria; Anthozoa; Malacalcyonacea; Xeniidae
Exons: 2
Source: RefSeq, a predicted model, not a curated record